UACGGGAGGGCAGCAGUGGGGGAAUAUUUGCACAAUGGGCGCAAGCCUGAUGCAGCCAUGCCGCGUGUAUGAAGAAGGCCUUCGGGUUGUAAAGUACUUUCAGUCGUGAGGAAGGUGUUAAGGUUAAUAACCUUAGCAAUUGACGUUAGCGACAGAAGAAGCACCGGCUAACUCCGUGCCAGCAGCCGCGGUAAUACGGAGGGUGCGAGCGUUAAUCGGAAUUACUGGGCGUAAAGGGCACGCAGGCGGUUAAUUAAGUUGGAUGUGAAAUCCCCGGGCUUAACCUGGGAAUGGCAUUCAAGACUGGUUAGCUAGAGUCUUGUAGAGGGGGUAGAAUUCCGAUGUGUAGCGGUGAAAUGCGUAGAGAUGUGGAGGAAUACCGGUGGCGAAAGGCGGCCCCUGGGACAAAGGACUGACGCUCAUGUGCGAAAGCGUGGGGAGCAAAACAGGGA
RNAcentral lists this ribosomal RNA (452 nucleotides) under uncultured bacterium. RNAcentral describes it as "bacterial SSU rRNA". It matches the Rfam family "Bacterial small subunit ribosomal RNA", at positions 340 to 778 of the family's 1533-position model. The record is from RNAcentral.